Molecule: long non-coding RNA, 467 nt
Organism: Pundamilia nyererei
Lineage: Eukaryota; Metazoa; Chordata; Actinopteri; Cichliformes; Cichlidae
Exons: 2
Source: RefSeq, a predicted model, not a curated record
GGACUCCCGCCGUUCUCUUGGGACAAAUUCGGCAGCAUCAGCCACCAGGGUCUGCCACAGUAUUACAACUUCACCUUUACCAAGAUGCAGCCCAUUCUUUUCAAACCAUGAGCAUCAGUGUGUGACUGUGUGCGCGCGACAGAGAUUCUUUCAGGGUAAUGGAGGUCCACGCCCAUCUGUACAACCCAGGUGUCCUGUGUGCAGCCAUUGGUGCCUUUGAUUCUCACAGUAGCUUUAUGAUAUAAUGAAAUACCAAAUCACAAAAUCAGCAGAUGUGCCACCUUAAAGUAAAAUCUUUAUUUUUGAUGCUUGAAUGUCUUCAUAUAUACGAACACUAUUGCUGCAGGAGUAGAGGAAACAAUCAGUGCAAUGCCUCAGGACUCAGGAGCUGAUCAUCUCUUAUGAUCUGAUUUUUGUUUGCUGCCUUUUUUUAUUGUGCUGUGCAAAAUUAAAAACCUCUUUUUGUA